GGACUCGUGCCUGAAACAAAGGACUACUUUGAUAGAGUAGAUAAUGUGGGCUAAAACCCCUCGGACUCCU
RNAcentral lists this transfer RNA (70 nucleotides) under Priapella compressa (Palenque priapella). RNAcentral describes it as "tRNA-Ile". Lineage: Eukaryota; Metazoa; Chordata; Actinopteri; Cyprinodontiformes; Poeciliidae. The record is from RNAcentral.